UACAGGGGGGGCAAGCGUUGUUCGGAAUUACUGGGCGUAAAGGGUUCGUAGGUGGCUCACUAAGUCACACGUGAAAUCCCUCAGCUUAACUGGGGAACUGCGUGUGAAACUGGAGAGCUUGAGGGUAGGAGAGGAAUGCAGAAUUCCAGGUGUAGCGGUGAAAUGCGUAGAUAUCAGGAGGAACACCGGUGGCGAAGGCGGGUCUCUGGGCCGAUACUGACGCUGAGGAGCGAAAGCGUGGGGAGCGAACAGG
RNAcentral lists this ribosomal RNA (253 nucleotides) under uncultured bacterium. RNAcentral's name for it is "partial 16S ribosomal RNA". It matches the Rfam family "Bacterial small subunit ribosomal RNA", at positions 524 to 776 of the family's 1533-position model. The record is from RNAcentral.